RNA transcript from Arachis duranensis, 1040 nucleotides. RefSeq lists it as uncharacterized. NCBI's taxonomy places the organism in Eukaryota, Viridiplantae, Streptophyta, Magnoliopsida, Fabales, Fabaceae. The transcript is spliced from 6 exons. The record is from RefSeq and is a predicted model, not a curated record.
CAACAAGACAACCCACCUAAAACCUAAAUUCAACUAAAUCCUCCCAAUCUAUCUGAAACCAACUACCGCUUUUCUUCUUGAAUUUGUCGUUGAAUCAAUUUCCAUGGCAUAUUCAAAUUAGCCAACUCUCACGCCUGGUAUCCGUUGUCACCAUCGUCUUUCAUCGGAGGUUGUAUUGAUACUGCGCCAAAUAACCUGGUGCAUCUUUGCGCAUCUGUACAAUUAUUUCUGAGGGUGGUCUGAUGAUCCAUGAUCUCUCCAGCGUCCCCAUAGCCUCCAAUGCUGCAACCUUGUGAGCCAACCGAUUUCCUUCUCUUGGAGUCCAUGUGAAGCCAAAUUCGGUUUCCCCUCUUAAUAAUGGCCUGUCUGAUUGCUAAAGCUUCCGCUGCUAGACUAGAACCCGCCAUAAUUUUUGUUGAUUCCCCAAUUACAAGAUUUCCUGUACUGUCUCUGAUUGUCACUGCAGUGGCUCCUGUCCCUGUUGUUGCUUUAAAGGAUGCAUCAACAUUAGCCUUUACCCAAGGCUCCGGGGGAGGUCUCCAGGGAUGGUAUGAGAAAUUACAAACCAGCUCCCAUUCUAUGAUAUCUUUUGUGAAACUUACUUCUCAAGGAUCAGAACCCUUUGAUAAUCCAACAUUCUAUUGUUUUAUAGUCGGUGGUGUACAAUAUGCAACACUAUCUCAUCCUGAGAUUGUAUUUUCUAUAAAUCGUGUUAAUGCUGAUUAGGCAAAUACAUGUGGAUACUGCCUCUUCUUUGGAACAACCCAAUUUUCUGGUCAAGUAGGAUGCAACGCACAAUAAGCAAAUCAUCUACUGAGACUAAAUUUCGUUGAUUGGCAGACACUGAAUCUGAAAUCCUAUGAAUCCAAAAAUUCCUGCAAGAAUUAAGGAUUUAUUGUCCAAUUCUACCCACAAUUUUCUAUGACAAUAAAAGUGUUAUCUUACUUUCAAAAAAUUCUAUAUUAUACAAUACAUUUAAGCAUUUUGAGAUCAAUUUACACUUUGUGCAGCAACAUGUGAUUUCUAAGCAGCUCUAUAUU